GACGAACGCUGGCGGCGUGCUUAACACAUGCAAGUCGAACGGAAAGGCCCUGCUUUUGUGGGGUGCUCGAGUGGCGAACGGGUGAGUAACACGUGAGUAACCUGCCCUUGACUUUGGGAUAACUUCAGGAAACUGGGGCUAAUACCGGAUAGGAGCUCCUGCUGCAUGGUGGGGGUUGGAAAGUUUCGGCGGUUGGGGAUGGACUCGCGGCUUAUCAGCUUGUUGGUGGGGUAGUGGCUUACCAAGGCUUUGACGGGUAGCCGGCCUGAGAGGGUGACCGGCCACAUUGGGACGGAGAUACGGCCCAGACUCUUACGGGGGGAAGGAGGGGGGAAUAUGGCACAAUGGGCGGAAGCCUGAUGCAGCAACGCCGCGUGCGGGAGGACGGCCUUCGGGUUGUAAACCGCUUUCGCCUGUGACGAAGCGUGAGUGACGGUAAUGGGUAAAGAAGCACCGGCUAACUACGU
RNAcentral lists this ribosomal RNA (467 nucleotides) under uncultured bacterium. RNAcentral describes it as "partial 16S ribosomal RNA". It matches the Rfam family "Bacterial small subunit ribosomal RNA", at positions 28 to 506 of the family's 1533-position model. The record is from RNAcentral.